This 615-nucleotide ribosomal RNA is filed under the name uncultured Bacilli bacterium. Its description in RNAcentral is "bacterial SSU rRNA". It matches the Rfam family "Bacterial small subunit ribosomal RNA", at positions 120 to 721 of the family's 1533-position model. The record is from RNAcentral. Lineage: Bacteria; Bacillati; Bacillota; Bacilli.
GGUAACCUGCCCAUCAGAAGGGGAUAACACUUGGAAACAGGUGCUAAUACCGUAUAACAAUCGAAACCGCAUGGUUUUGAUUUGAAAGGCGCUUUCGGGUGUCGCUGAUGGAUGGACCCGCGGUGCAUUAGCUAGUUGGUGAGGUAACGGCUCACCAAGGCCACGAUGCAUAGCCGACCUGAGAGGGUGAUCGGCCACAUUGGGACUGAGACACGGCCCAAACUCCUACGGGAGGCAGCAGUAGGGAAUCUUCGGCAAUGGACGAAAGUCUGACCGAGCAACGCCGCGUGAGUGAAGAAGGUUUUCGGAUCGUAAAACUCUGUUAUUAGAGAAGAACAAGGAUGAGAGUAACUGUUCAUCCCUUGACGGUAUCUAACCAGAGAGCCACGGCUAACUACGUGCCAGCAGCCGCGGUAAUACGUAGGUGGCAAGCGUUGUCCGGAUUUAUUGGGCGUAAAGCGAGCGCAGGCGGUUUCUUAAGUCUGAUGUGAAAGCCCCCGGCUCAACCGGGGAGGGUCAUUGGAAACUGGGAGACUUGAGUGCAGAAGAGGAGAGUGGAAUUCCAUGUGUAGCGGUGAAAUGCGUAGAUAUAUGGAGGAACACCAGUGGCGAAGG